GACGAACGCUGGCGGCGUGCUUAACACAUGCAAGUCGAACGGAAAGGCCCUGCUUUUGUGGGGUGCUCGAGUGGCGAACGGGUGAGUAACACGUGAGUAACCUGCCCUCGACUUUGGGAUAACUUCAGGAAACUGGGGCUAAUACCGGAUAGGAGCUCCUGCUGCAUGGUGGGGGUUGGAAAGUUUCGGCGGUUGGGGAUGGACUCGCGGCUUAUCAGCUUGUUGGUGGGGUAGUGGCUUACCAAGGCUUUGACGGGUAGCCGGCCUGAGAGGGUGACCGGCCACAUUGGGACUGAGAUACGGCGCAGACUCGUACGGGAGGCAGCAGGGGGGAAUAUUGCACAAUGGGCGGAAGCCUGAUGCAGCAACGCCGCGUGCGGGAUGACGGCCUUCGGGUUGUAAACCGCUUUCGCCUGUGACGAAGCGUGAGUGACGGUAAUGUGUGAAGAAGCACCGGCUAACUACGUG
RNAcentral lists this ribosomal RNA (468 nucleotides) under uncultured bacterium. RNAcentral describes it as "partial 16S ribosomal RNA". It matches the Rfam family "Bacterial small subunit ribosomal RNA", at positions 28 to 507 of the family's 1533-position model. The record is from RNAcentral.